CCAUGUUCCCCACGGGGGAGGAUGAGAAGCUUCGACCUCGAAGGUUUGACCCGAAGGGUGAGUCGCAAAGCGACGAAAAAUCCUUCCCACUCAGCAA
RNAcentral lists this small RNA (97 nucleotides) under Erwinia billingiae. Its description in RNAcentral is "RtT sRNA". It matches the Rfam family "RtT RNA". Rfam says of the family: This family represents a bacterial cis-regulatory element known as RtT RNA. Lineage: Bacteria; Pseudomonadati; Pseudomonadota; Gammaproteobacteria; Enterobacterales; Erwiniaceae. The record is from RNAcentral.